GCGGUAUUAGCUCAGCUGGAUAGAGCGACUGGCUACGGACCAGUAGGCCUGGGGUUCGAAUCCUCAAUGCCGCGCCA
RNAcentral lists this transfer RNA (77 nucleotides) under Anaerococcus sp. Its description in RNAcentral is "tRNA-Arg". It matches the Rfam family "tRNA". Rfam says of the family: Transfer RNA (tRNA) molecules are approximately 80 nucleotides in length. Their secondary structure includes four short double-helical elements and three loops (D, anti-codon, and T loops). Further hydrogen bonds mediate the characteristic L-shaped molecular structure. tRNAs have two regions of fundamental functional importance: the anti-codon, which is responsible for specific mRNA codon recognition, and the 3' end, to which the tRNAs corresponding amino acid is attached (by aminoacyl-tRNA synthetases). tRNAs cope with the degeneracy of the genetic code in two manners: having more than one tRNA (with a specific anti-codon) for a particular amino acid; and 'wobble' base-pairing, i.e. permitting non-standard base-pairing at the 3rd anti-codon position. The record is from RNAcentral. Lineage: Bacteria; Bacillati; Bacillota; Tissierellia; Tissierellales; Peptoniphilaceae. RNAcentral also lists the same sequence under 2 other names.